UGGCCGUGUGUCUCUGCUUGCGACAGAGUAU
This 31-nucleotide small RNA is filed under the name Bombyx mori (domestic silkworm). Its description in RNAcentral is "ovarian small RNA-8759". Lineage: Eukaryota; Metazoa; Arthropoda; Insecta; Lepidoptera; Bombycidae. The record is from RNAcentral.